GGCUCAGUGGUUUAGAGGUAAAGCGUUCGCACACAAAACCAAAGGUCAUGGGUUCGAGUCCCACAUGCC
RNAcentral lists this transfer RNA (69 nucleotides) under Schistosoma mansoni. Lineage: Eukaryota; Metazoa; Platyhelminthes; Trematoda; Strigeidida; Schistosomatidae. The record is from RNAcentral.